GAGCCCGCACAAGCAGUGGAGUAUGUGGUUUAAUUCGACGCAACGCGAAGAACCUUACCAGGUCUUGACAUCCCAAGGACGGCGCGUAAUGGCGCUGGUGCCCUUCGGGGAGCUUGGAGACAGGUGGUGCAUGGUUGUCGUCAGCUCGUGUCGUGAGAUGUUGGGUUAAGUCCCGCAACGAGCGCAACCCUUACGGUUAGUUGCUACGGAAGAGCACUCUGGCCGGACUGCCGUUGACAAAACGGAGGAAGGCGGGGAUGACGUCAAAUCAUCAUGCCCCUUAAGACCUGGGCUACACACGUACUACAAUGGCGCAAACAAAGGGAAGCUAAGCCGCGAGGCGGAGCGAACCCCAUAAAAGGCGUCCCAGUUCAGAUUGCAGGCUGCAACCCGCCUGCAUGAAGUCGGAAUUGCUAGUAAUCGCGGAUCAGCAUGCCGCGGUGAAUACGUUCCCGGGCUUU
This 461-nucleotide ribosomal RNA is filed under the name uncultured bacterium. RNAcentral describes it as "bacterial SSU rRNA". It matches the Rfam family "Bacterial small subunit ribosomal RNA", at positions 917 to 1382 of the family's 1533-position model. The record is from RNAcentral.